This is a long non-coding RNA of Pecten maximus, 381 nucleotides long. RefSeq lists it as uncharacterized. The record is from RefSeq and is a predicted model, not a curated record. Lineage: Eukaryota; Metazoa; Mollusca; Bivalvia; Pectinida; Pectinidae. The transcript is spliced from 2 exons.
GUGAAGUAGAAGGGACAUAACAUACCUAACAAUGAGGAAUCUGCCAACUAUUAUUUUUCUGUGCUUUAGUGUUUUCUUCCUUCCUUCCGUCUUCACUUCUUACAGCAAUGAGAACCAUCAGAUAGGCUACAAAAGUCGGCCCCAAGUAGCUAAAGGUUUGGGCGGGUCAAUACCGAGAAAUGCUAUCUGUUCACAAUGCCACUUGCUCGGUCGCUGGUACUGUGUUCUUCUUGGAUGUGCGCAAUGAUGGCGAAAAUGACGGCGAUACAGGACAUUUCGUUACCAUUUAAUGUAUUCAUUACUAUUGACUGCUAUUUGGAUUGUUUGUACAGCAUGUUGAUCGAUGUCCAUUAGCAAUGCAAUAAACACUAUCAUAUAUAA